UAAAGGUUUAGUUGAGUUGAGUUUAGUACUGUACUAUGAAGUGGACAGAAUCUUCAAUUAUUUUCACUUUUAAUUUUGUACGUUAAAACUACCAUGAUAAUAUAACUAUACUUAAUUCUCCUUUUGAUGAUCAUCAGCCAUAUUUUUUAGAAUUUUCCAUCAAAUGUUUGGAAGAAUGAUUUCUGUUUGUUGCAUUUGCAAGCCUUGAACUUGCAAAAAGACUGCAAGUUGCAUGCUUGAGUGCAUUCAUUUCAUGAAAAAAAUGUUGAGCAACAGGACCAUCUCCCAGAUUUCCCUUCCUUCAUUUUCUUUGAAUCAAAUGUCUGGCUUGUGAUUGGAUUGUCUUGUUUGU
This 352-nucleotide unclassified non-coding RNA is filed under the name Hevea brasiliensis (rubber tree). Lineage: Eukaryota; Viridiplantae; Streptophyta; Magnoliopsida; Malpighiales; Euphorbiaceae. The record is from RNAcentral.